This 492-nucleotide ribosomal RNA is filed under the name uncultured bacterium. RNAcentral describes it as "partial 16S ribosomal RNA". It matches the Rfam family "Bacterial small subunit ribosomal RNA", at positions 29 to 507 of the family's 1533-position model. The record is from RNAcentral.
AGUGAACGCUGGCGGUAGGCCUAACACAUGCAAGUCGAACGGCAGCACAGUAAGAGCUUGCUCUUACGGGUGGCGAGUGGCGGACGGGUGAGGAAUACAUCGGAAUCUACUUUUUCGUGGGGGAUAACGUAGGGAAACUUACGCUAAUACCGCAUACGACCUACGGGUGAAAGCAGGGGAUCUUCGGACCUUGCGCGAUUGAAUGAGCCGAUGUCGGAUUGGCUAGUUGGCGGGGUAAAGGCCCACCAAGGCGACGAUCCGUAGCUGGUCUGAGAGGAUGAUCGGCCACACUGGAACUGGGACACGGUCCAGACUCCUACGGGAGGCAGCAGUGGGGAAUAUUAGACAAUGGGCGCAAGCCUGAUCCAGCCAUACCGCGUGGGUGAAGAAGGCCUUCGGGUUGUAAAGCCCUUUUGUUGGGAAAGAAAAGCAGCAGGUUAAUACCCCGCUGUUCUGACGGUACCCAAAGAAUAAGCACCGGCUAACUUCGUG